Molecule: ribosomal RNA, 638 nt
Filed under: uncultured bacterium
Lineage: Bacteria
Description: bacterial SSU rRNA
Rfam family: Bacterial small subunit ribosomal RNA
Source: RNAcentral
GCUUAACCGGAGAAGUACAUUGGAAACUGGGAAACUUGAGUGCAGAAGAGGACAGUGGAACUCCAUGUGUAGCGGUGGAAUGCGUAGAUAUGUGGAAGAACACCAGUGGCGAAGGCGACUGUCUGGUCUGUAACUGACGCUGAGGCUCGAAAGCAUGGGGAGCGAACAGGAUUAGAUACCCUGGUAGUCCAUGCCGUAAACGAUGAGUGCUAAGUGUUGGAGGGUUUCCGCCCUUUAGUGCUGCAGCUAACGCAUUAAGCACUCCGCCUGGGGAGUACGGCCGCAAGAUUGAAACUCAAAGGAAUUGACGGGGGCCCGCACAAGCGGUGGAGCAUGUGGUUUAAUUCGAAGCUACGCGAAGAACCUUACCAGGUCUUGACAUCUUCUGACAAUCUUAGAGAUGAGGCUUCCCCUUCGGGGACAGAGUGACAGGUGGUGCAUGGUUGUCGUCAGCUCGUGUCGUGAGAUGUUGGGUUAAGUCCCGCAACGAGCGCAACCCUUGAUAUCAGUUGCCAGCAUUCAGUUGGGCACUCUGGUGUGACUGCCGGUGACAAACCGGAGGAAGGUGGGGAUGACGUCAAAUCAUCAUGCCCCUUAUGACCUGGGCUACACACGUGCUACAAUGGGACGGAACAACG